AUUGAACGCUGGCGGCAGGCCUAACACAUGCAAGUCGAACGGUAGCACAGAGAGCUUGCUCUCGGGUGACGAGUGGCGGACGGGUGAGUAACGUCUGGGAAACUGCCCGAUGGAGGGGGAUAACUACUGGAAACGGUAGCUAAUACCGCAUAACGUCGCAAGACCAAAGUGGGGGACCUUCGGGCCUCACACCAUCGGAUGGGCCCAGAUGGGAUGAGCUAGUAGGUGGGGUAAUGGCUCACCUAGGCGACGAUCCCUAGCUGGUCUGAGAGGAUGACCAGCCACACUGGAACUGAGACACGGUCCAGACUCCUACGGGAGGCAGCAGUGGGGAAUAUUGCACAAUGGGCGCAAGCCUGAUGCAGCCAUGCCGCGUGUAUGAAGAAGGCCUUCGGGUUGUAAAGUACUUUCAGCGGGGAGGAAGGCGGUGAAGUUAAUAGCUUCACCGAUUGACGUUACCCGCAGAAGAAGCACCGGCUAACUCCGUGCCAGCAGCCGCCGUAA
RNAcentral lists this ribosomal RNA (504 nucleotides) under uncultured bacterium. RNAcentral describes it as "partial 16S ribosomal RNA". It matches the Rfam family "Bacterial small subunit ribosomal RNA", at positions 29 to 523 of the family's 1533-position model. The record is from RNAcentral.